AUUGAACGCUGGCGGCAGGCCUAACACAUGCAAGUCGAACGGCAGCACAGAAGAGCUUGCUCUUUGGGUGGCGAGUGGCGGACGGGUGAGUAAUGUCUGGGAAACUGCCCGAUGGAGGGGGAUAACUACUGGAAACGGUAGCUAAUACCGCAUAACGUCGCAAGACCAAAGUGGGGGACUUUCGGGCCUCACACCAGCGGAUGUGCCCAGAUGGGAUUAGCUAGUAGGUGGGGUAAUGGCUCACCUAGGCGACGAUCCCUAGCUGGUCUGAGAGGAUGACCAGCCACACUGGAACUGAGACACGGCCCAGACUCCUACGGGAGGCAGCAGUGGGGAAUAUUGCACAAUGGGCGCAAGCCUGAUGCAGCCAUGCCGCGUGUAUGAAGAAGGCCUUCGGGUUGUAAAGUACUUUCAGCGGGGAGGAAGGCGGUGAGGUUAAUAACCUUGCCGAUUGACGUUACCCGCAGAAGAAGCACCGGCUAACUCCGUGCCAGCCGCCGCGGUAA
Molecule: ribosomal RNA, 506 nt
Filed under: uncultured bacterium
Lineage: Bacteria
Description: partial 16S ribosomal RNA
Rfam family: Bacterial small subunit ribosomal RNA
Source: RNAcentral